UACGGAAGGCAGCAGUGGGGAAUAUUGCACAAUGGGCGCAAGCCUGAUGCAGCCAUGCCGCGUGUAUGAAAAAGGCCUUCGGGUUGUAAAGUACUUUCAGUCGUGAAGAAGGUGUUAAGGUUAAUAACCUUAGCAAUUGACGUUAGCGACAGAAGAAGCACCGGCUAACUCCGUGCCAGCAGCCGCGGUAAUACGGAGGGUGCGAGCGUUAAUCGGAAUUACUGGGCGUAAAGGGCACGCAGGCGGUUAAUUAAGUUGGAUGUGAAAUCCCCGGGCUUAACCUGGGAAUGGCAUUCAAGACUGGUUAGCUAGAGUCUUGUAGAGGGGGUAGAAUUCCAUGUGUAGCGGUGAAAUGCGUAGAGAUGUGGAGGAAUACCGGUGGCGAAGGCGGCCCCCUGGACAAAGACUGACGCUCAUGUGCGAAAGCGUGGGGAGCAAACAGGGAUUAGAUACC
This 454-nucleotide ribosomal RNA is filed under the name uncultured bacterium. RNAcentral's name for it is "bacterial SSU rRNA". It matches the Rfam family "Bacterial small subunit ribosomal RNA", at positions 340 to 786 of the family's 1533-position model. The record is from RNAcentral.